CUAGCCUGUUGAUCCGCUCAGCUUCACUUCGUUCUUCCUUUCUAUCAAAGGAGCGAAGCGAUAGCUUUGAAAAAAGCUCGGCCUACUGUAAGACUAAUAAAGACUGACCUACGAUAGCUUAUCAAUAAACUCCAACUCAGUCGUUUCCUUAUCAGUCGAGCGAAGUGAUAACUGAGCAAGCGAAGCGAUAGCUGAGCACUUUUUUCAUUGGCUUUUUCAGUCGCUUCGGUUUAGCCCUUUUUUUCGCAUCAACCCGCAUUUGAGAAAGUUUAGCUAUAGCUCUUUCAAAGGUGAGCUUGUGAACAGGCAAACAAGAAGAAAGU
This 323-nucleotide long non-coding RNA is filed under the name Amborella trichopoda. RNAcentral describes it as "long non-coding RNA (ATRI_LNC003202)". Lineage: Eukaryota; Viridiplantae; Streptophyta; Magnoliopsida; Amborellales; Amborellaceae. The record is from RNAcentral.